Molecule: ribosomal RNA, 419 nt
Filed under: uncultured bacterium
Lineage: Bacteria
Description: bacterial SSU rRNA
Rfam family: Bacterial small subunit ribosomal RNA
Source: RNAcentral
GGAAUAUUGGUCAAUGGGCGGAAGCCUGAACCAGCCAAGUAGCGUGUGGGACGACGGCCCUACGGGUUGUAAACCACUUUUGCGCGGGGAUAACCGCCCCCACCUGUGGGGGCCUGCAGGUACCGCGCGAAUAAGGACCGGCUAAUUCCGGGCCAGCAGCCGCGGUAAUACGGAAGGUCCGGGCGUUAUCCGGAUUUAUUGGGUUUAAAGGGAGCGUAGGCGGGGCGUUAAGCGUGCUGUGAAAAGCCGCGGCUCAACCGUGGUCGUGCAGCGCGAACUGUCGCCCUUGAGUGCGCGGGAGGCACGCGGAAUUCGUGGUGUAGCGGUGAAAUGCUUAGAUAUCACGAGGAACGCCGAUUGCGAAGGCAGCGUGCCGUAGCGUUACUGACGCUGAAGCUCGAAGGUGCGGGUAUCGAACA